CCUACGGGAGUCAGCAGUGGGGAAUAUUGCACAAUGGGGGAAACCCUGAUGCAGCGACGCCGCGUGCGUGAAGAAGUAUUUCGGUACGUAAAGCUCUAUCAGCAGGGAAGAAAAUGACGGUACCUGACUAAGAAGCCCCGGCUAACUACGUGCCAGCAGCCGCGGUAAUACGUAGGGGGCAAGCGUUAUCCGGAUUUACUGGGUGUAAAGGGGGCGUAGACGGCAGCGCAAGUCUGGAGUGAAAUCCCAGGGCUUAACCAUGGAACUGCUGUGGAAACUGUGCGGCUAGAGUGCAGGGGAGGUAGGCGGAAUUCGUGGUGUAGCGGUGAAAUGCGUAGAUAGUAGGAGGAACGCCAGUGGCGAAGGCGGCUUACUGGACUGGAACUGACGUUGAGGCUCGAAAGCGUGGGGAGCAAACAGGAUUAGAUACCCUGGUAGUC
RNAcentral lists this ribosomal RNA (440 nucleotides) under uncultured bacterium. Its description in RNAcentral is "partial 16S ribosomal RNA". It matches the Rfam family "Bacterial small subunit ribosomal RNA", at positions 338 to 795 of the family's 1533-position model. The record is from RNAcentral.